UAGACCUCACAGUGAAAUGCUGAAUACAACAGGUGUAGUAGACCUCACAGUGAAAUGCUGAAUACAACAGGUCUAGUAGAUCUCACAGUGAAAUGCUGAAUACAACAGGUGUAGUAGACCUCACAGUGAAAUGCUGAAUACAACAGGUGUAGUAGACCUCACAGUGAAAUGCUGAAUACAACAGGUGUAGUAGACCUCACAGUGAAAUGAUGAAUACAACAGGUGUAGUAGACCUCACAGUGAAAUGCUGAAUACAACAGGUGUAGUAGACCUUACAGUGAAAUGAUGAAUACAACAGGUGUAGUAGACCUCACAGUGAAAUGCUGAAUACAACAGGUGUAGUAGACCUCACAGUGAAAUGCUGAAUACAACAGGUGUAGUAGACCUCACAGUGAAAUGCUGAAUACAACAGGUGUAGUAGACCUUACAGUGAAAUGCUGAAUACAACAGGUGUAGUAGACCUCACAGUGAAAUGCUGAAUACAACAGGUGUAGUAGACCUUACAGUGAAAUGAUGAAUACAACAGGUGUAGUAGACCUCACAGUGAAAUGCUGAAUACAACAGGUGUAGUAGACCUCACAGUGAAAUGCUGAAUACAACAAGUGUAGUAGACCUUACAGUGAAAUGCUGAAUACAACAGGUGUAGUAGACCUCACAGUGAAAUGCUGAAUACAACAAGUGUAGUAGACCUCACAGUGAAAUGCUGAAUACAACAGGUGUAGUAGACCUCACAGUGAAAUGCUGAAUACAACAGGUGUAGUAGACCUCACAGUGAAAUGCUGAAUACAACAAGUGUAGUAGACCUCACAGUGAAAUGCUGAAUACAACAGGUGUAGUAGACCUCACAGUGAAAUGCUGAAUACAACAGGUGUAGUAGACCUUACCGUGAAAUGCUGAAUACAACAGGUGUAGUAGACCUCACAGUGAAAUGCUGAAUACAACAGGUGUAGUAGACCUCACAGUGAAAUGCUGAAUACAACAAGUGUAGUAGACCUCACAGUGAAAUGCUGAAUACAACAGGUGUAGUAGACCUUACCGUGAAAUGCUGAAUACAACAGGUGUAGUAGACCUCACAGUGAAAUGCUGAAUACAACAGGUGUAGUAGACCUCACAGUGAAAUGAUGAAUACAACAGGUGUAGUAGACCUUACAGUGAAAUGAUGAAUACAACAGGUGUAGUAGACCUCACAGUGAAAUGCUGAAUACAACAGGUGUAGUAGACCUUACAGUGAAAUGCUGAAUACAACAGGUGUAGUAGACCUCACAGUGAAAUGCUGAAUACAACAGGUGUAGUCGACCUUACAGUGAAAUGCUGAAUACAACAGGUGUAGUAGACCUCACAGUGAAAUGCUGAAUACAACAGGUGUAGUAGACCUCACAGUGAAAUGCUGAAUACAACAGGUGUAGUAGACCUUACAGUGAAAUGCUGAAUACAACAGGUGUAGUAGACCUCACAGUGAAAUGCUGAAUACAACAUGUGUAGUAGACCUCACAGUGAAAUGCUGAAUACAACAGGUGUAGUAGACCUUACAGUGAAAUGCUGAAUACAACAGGUGUAGUAGACCUCACAGUGAAAUGCUGAAUACAACAGGUGUAGUAGACCUCACAGUGAAAUGAUGAAUACAACAGGUGUAGUAGACCUUACAGUGAAAUGCUGAAUACAACAGGUGUAGUAGACC
Molecule: long non-coding RNA, 1678 nt
Organism: Oncorhynchus keta (chum salmon)
Lineage: Eukaryota; Metazoa; Chordata; Actinopteri; Salmoniformes; Salmonidae
Exons: 3
Source: RefSeq, a predicted model, not a curated record